Molecule: long non-coding RNA, 201 nt
Filed under: Erythranthe guttata (spotted monkey flower)
Lineage: Eukaryota; Viridiplantae; Streptophyta; Magnoliopsida; Lamiales; Phrymaceae
Description: long non-coding RNA (EGUT_LNC000484)
Source: RNAcentral
AUGUUUGGUAUCCUCAAUAAAUUGCCGGGUCGACCCGCAAAAAUUAUAUAAUCAUGGCUUAUCUUGCCUUAUCUUGGCUUAUCUUGCCUUCUAAUGAGUUUUUUUUGUUGGACGUUUCAAGCUCCAAUAAAAUAAUUGGGUCUCAUUAGAUUAUUUAAUCUUAUCUUGGCUAAUCUUAUCUUGCCAACCAAACGGGGCCUU